RNAcentral lists this ribosomal RNA (589 nucleotides) under uncultured Burkholderia sp. RNAcentral describes it as "bacterial SSU rRNA". It matches the Rfam family "Bacterial small subunit ribosomal RNA", at positions 334 to 916 of the family's 1533-position model. Lineage: Bacteria; Pseudomonadati; Pseudomonadota; Betaproteobacteria; Burkholderiales; Burkholderiaceae. The record is from RNAcentral.
UACUCCUACGGGAGGCAGCAGUGGGGAAUUUUGGACAAUGGGGGCAACCCUGAUCCAGCCAUGCCGCGUGCGGGAAGAAGGCCUUCGGGUUGUAAACCGCUUUUAGUCGGGAAGAAAAGGUUAUCCCUAAUAAGGAUGACUCUUGACGGUACCGGCGGAAUAAGCACCGGCUAACUACGUGCCAGCAGCCGCGGUAAUACGUAGGGUGCGAGCGUUAAUCGGAAUUACUGGGSGUAAAGCGUGCGCAGGCGGUUCGUUAAGUUCGUUGUGAAAGCCCCGGGCUCAACCUGGGAAUGGCAAUGGAAACUGGCGGGCUUGAGUAUGGCAGAGGGGGGUGGAAUUCCGCGUGUAGCAGUGAAAUGCGUAGAGAUGCGGAGGAACACCGAUGGCGAAGGCAGCCCCCUGGGCCAAUACUGACGCUCAGGCACGAAAGCGUGGGGAGCAAACAGGAUUAGAUACCCUGGUAGUCCACGCCCUAAACGAUGCUCACUAGGUGUUGGGGAAGSGAUUCCUUGGUACCGUAGCUAACGCGUGAAGUGAGCCGCCUGGGGAGUACGGCCGCAAGGUUAAAACUCAAAUGAAUUGACGG